This 321-nucleotide long non-coding RNA is filed under the name Phoenix dactylifera (date palm). Its description in RNAcentral is "long non-coding RNA (PDAC_LNC020007)". The record is from RNAcentral. Lineage: Eukaryota; Viridiplantae; Streptophyta; Magnoliopsida; Arecales; Arecaceae.
AAAAACUUAAAUAAUUUUAAAAUCAAAAUAAAAUGCUGGAUAUCUUAUAUUAUGUAAUAGGUGUAGGUACCUUUUGGUUUGAACCUUCACUUAGUGACAAUUGAUUACAUCUGUGGAGCCAAGGUGGUCUUAACCUUGAACCUCGGUCCAUGGCUCAGAUUAAAUCAACAGCACACAUAAUAUAGCCCGAUCUGGGUUCUAAGCGGGUUGCGCUGUUAUGGCCAUGCGCAGAUAUCUAUCAUGUGCUUUUUAGGGAAUCGCCCAUUUCCCAUAAUCGCGGCCUCACGACUGCACAUAUAGGUGAGUCCUAAUAAGGAAGCU